CGGGAAUGCCACGCUGAUGCGAUUUCGGUCAAAUCAUGUGGCAUUCGAGUGGCGGACGGGUGAGUAACGCGUGGGUAACCUGCCUUACACAGGGGGAUAACACCUGGAAACAGGUGCUAAUACCGCAUAAGCGCACAGGGCCGCAUGGCCCGGUGUGAAAAACUCCGGUGGUGUAAGAUGGACCCGCGUCUGAUUAGCUUGUUGGCGGGGUAGGGGCCCACCAAGGCGACGAUCAGUAGCCGGCCUGAGAGGGUGGACGGCCACAUUGGGACUGAGACACGGCCCAAACUCCUACGGGAGGCAGCAGUGGGGGAUAUUGGACAAUGGGGGAAACCCUGAUCCAGCGACGCCGCGUGAGUGAAGAAGUAUUUCGGUAUGUAAAGCUCUGUCAGCAGGGAAGAAAGAAAUGACGGUACCUGACCAAGAAGCCCCGGCUAACUACGUGCCAGCAGCCGCGGUAAUACGUAGGGGGCAAGCGUUAUCCGGAAUUACUGGGUGUAAAGGGAGCGUAGACGGUGAUGCAAGUCUGGAGUGAAAGGCGGGGGCCCAACCCCCGGACUGCUCUGGAAACUGUGUAACUUGAGUGCAGGAGAGGUAAGCGGAAUUCCUAGUGUAGCGGUGAAAUGCGUAGAUAUUAGGAGGAACACCAGUGGCGAAGGCGGCUUACUGGACUGUAACUGACGUUGAGGCUCGAAAGCGUGGGGAGCAAACAGGAUUAGAUACCCUGGUAGUCCACGCCGUANACGAUGAUUACUAGGUGUCGGNGGGUAUGGACCCAUCGGUGCCGCAGCAAACGCAGUAAGUAAUCCACCUGGGGAGUACGUUCGCAAGAAUGAAACU
RNAcentral lists this ribosomal RNA (840 nucleotides) under uncultured bacterium. RNAcentral describes it as "bacterial SSU rRNA". It matches the Rfam family "Bacterial small subunit ribosomal RNA", at positions 54 to 901 of the family's 1533-position model. The record is from RNAcentral.